UACGAAGGGGGCUAGCGUUGCUCGGAAUCACUGGGCGUAAAGGGUGCGUAGGCGGGUCUUAAGUCAGGGGUGAAAUCCUGGAGCUCAACUCCAGAACUGCCUUUGAUACUGAGGAUCUUGAGUUCGGGAGAGGUGAGUGGAACUGCGAGUGUAGAGGUGAAAUUCGUAGAUAUUCGCAAGAACACCAGUGGCGAAGGCGGCUCACUGGCCCGAUACUGACGCUGAGGUGCGAAAAGCGUGGGGAGCAAACAGG
This 253-nucleotide ribosomal RNA is filed under the name uncultured bacterium. RNAcentral describes it as "partial 16S ribosomal RNA". It matches the Rfam family "Bacterial small subunit ribosomal RNA", at positions 524 to 776 of the family's 1533-position model. The record is from RNAcentral.